This 1527-nucleotide long non-coding RNA is filed under the name Malus domestica (apple). Its description in RNAcentral is "long non-coding RNA (MDOM_LNC007221)". The record is from RNAcentral. Lineage: Eukaryota; Viridiplantae; Streptophyta; Magnoliopsida; Rosales; Rosaceae.
UUCUCUCUUUCGCAAAUCUCUACUUCCGUUUCUCUCAACUUGCCUUCUGUCACUCUCAAACGUCGGGCAAGCUAUCGACCACCCCUUAUCUACCUUCUUCUUCUUCUUCUUCCUUCGCUUCACCCUGUGCAAAUCUGAGAGACGCCUACCACAAUUGCUUCACUGGGGCCUCUCUCUAAAAUCCAUCUGAAAAAGGUAUAAUGGGUAUUGUUUGUGUUUGCAGGUUGUACUCGGCAAAGUCUGUGAAGGACCAAUAAAUGGAUUCGAAGAUGAACCAAGUCAAGGGACACGGAGCUCAGAAUAUCGGAGGUAUAAAUUGGCUGCCCUGAAAUUUUUUUUAUUUAAUUAAUUUCAACAGGUAUCUAAGAAAUUCUUAGUAUGCAUAGUGUCUGUGUUGAGUCCCUGAGCAUCUUGAUUUUUUAUAUUAAAUGAUCUCUGUAGUGUCUGUAUAUUUGUACAUCCAUGCAUUAAAAUGAUUUCUGUCAUUCAUUGUUUCCUAUAUCCGAAUUUAAAUCUAUUUAAUUUUUUAAAUUGAUCUGGGAUGUUGAGAAAUUGGAGCUCUUCUAAGGUCAAGGCCAUUUUGAUUUGGGGAUUUGAUGCGAAGAAAAUGAAAUAAAAUUUGGGUUUUGGAUUGAUGUGGUGUUUGGUUUUAUUUCCUGUUAUCAGUGCUUACUACCUGUUUGAGAAAAUGUAUUAAACAUUUUUUUGGGCUUUUUUUUCUUCAGAUUAUCUAUAUGUUUCGAAUGUUUUUUGGUUUGUCAUGUGUAUAAGAAUGUGAAAUAGACUAUCUGAGGUAAUCAAUUUGAACAUAGCAUAUAGAACCUUUUGAAUUCAGGUUGUCUCCUUUUUCCUUUUAUCUUUCUCUUUAUUUAUAUUGGGAUUGGUUAAUUUUUUUUUUCUUCCGGAUUAGAGAUUUUAACCUUCUGCACUUCAAAUUUGAAGCACGAUGUAGUACAGAGUAUACAAUUCCUUGCUGGCUAUGAGGUUUGUUAUUUGUUUAUUUCUUUGUUCCACUUUUUUAGUUAAGGGUUCUUUUUUAUUUGACUUAACUUUGAUUUUUGAAAUGGUCCCUGCUGCUGCUAAUGAAGAUUUUUCAAGAGGGUUUUGCCUUUCUGAAGAGUUACUUUCAAGGAUAAAAAUGAGUGUUCCAAAGAAAGCUAGGAGUUCCGGUGAUGAAAUUGAACUUAUCGUCUUGGUAAGGAGUCUUCAUUUUUUUUGGUUUUAAGAUGAUAAAAAAUUAUUUGUUUUCUUAUUUGGUCUUUUGCCAAGGGAUUGAGUUGCUUUUGCGACGGAGACAUUUCAGAAGAGAAUGAGACUUUCCAUGUAAGAUAGAGAUGAUACAAAACUGUAAAUGGAUGUCUUAUUAUCUAAUUAGGUUGAGUUUGUAUUUAAUACAUAUAAUUGUAUUGGUAGGUCUGGAGUACUUUCUCUGCAUGCUUAGGGUAAAUUGUUUGCCUAUUCUGGGAGCAACUAUUCCGGGGUUGAUUGAUAGAGUGAAUAUUGAAUUUGUCGACAUUAAAGGGACUU